RNAcentral lists this long non-coding RNA (2969 nucleotides) under Haliotis rubra (blacklip abalone). Its description in RNAcentral is "uncharacterized LOC124262064". Lineage: Eukaryota; Metazoa; Mollusca; Gastropoda; Lepetellida; Haliotidae. The record is from RNAcentral.
GAUGAUAAUGUCAUGUAUUUUAUAUGUACUUUCAGUUAGUGUGUCUUGUGUAGAAACUCUUGUUACUUUUAUAGUAUUGCUGGUUUUCCAAAUCUAAUUACCUUUGUGGUUCAGUGUUGCAUAUAUUACAGAGAACUGAGUAACUACAAAGCCUCAUUUGUCUUAUUUUUCUCCUUCUUAAGAAUUUGACAAGUAUCAAUAUCAUUCUUUUGAUUAACUGAUAGCAUGAUAAGGACAUGGACUAAUAUGCAUGUGUCUGUCUGCCAAAUACUUAGGCCGGAUUGCAGCAGCACAAAGAAAGAAAAGAAGAGGCUCUUCUAACAGUUCAGAGCCUCAUCCAUCUGUUGGAGCAGCAGCUGAUCACACGCUUUCUGCAGUGGCUCCCUUGUGCACCCAAACCUCUCCAGCAAGCUACAAGUGCCAACCAUGCAGCACCCAGUCUUUAGCCGUCAUCACAAUUUCAAAGAUUAUUCUAGUCUUGUGACACUCAGUCAUCACCCACAGGGUUCAUUCAUUUCUAAUCUUACAUUUCUCAGCUAGAGAUUACCCAAUGAUAAUUAGAUCAUGAUUGUUAAUUGAUACCUUUCAUUUCUGUUAUAACAGUAUUUCUAUCAGUUUUGGGAACAGGGGGUACUAUUUAUUUUUACCAUGAAUGACUUGAUAGCUAUCACUUUUUGAACAAAAUCUUUAUUCCUGAGAUCAGUUCAAAUGAUUCUCCUUUUGUUUUGAGGUUACAUUUGUAUUUGAUAUAUUGUUAGGUCUUUCCCUGAGAUCACACAUUCUCGGAAAGAACGUGUAUCAUUAAACCUGGUUCAGUAAGAUAGUUAUUCUUUCUUUGUUUGUCAGUAGGAAAUAGUGGCACCAGGUCAUAGUUUGACAGAAGUAAUCAGCACAUUUUUAAGUUUCAAAUAGCUUUGUUCCUGUAAAUAUUAAACAGGUAGAUCAAAUGUGACUGUAAUUGUUCUCAUGAACCAAGUAGGCCUUAUGGUGUUUUGCUUCAUUGUCUUUUUUCAUGUCUGAUGCUGUAUGAACCUUUAAUAUCAAGCGAUAAUCUGCUGAGGACAAAUUGCAUUCAUCUUCUUUGAAGUUAAAAUUUUAUGGUGUGGAAUUACUUUUACUGGUCGCCCUACUCAAAAUUCAAGGAACUGUUUUCUUUGUGAAAAUGUGCAAUAAAUGUGUUUAUUGAGUGAUAAAUAGUUUUAAAGGGUGACAAAAGAGUUUUGUGACUUUUUUGUCAGAGAUAGGUGGUGAUGUAUUAUGUGUAUUCCACUCUACAGGGUGAGGGGGAAGGGAGUGUGCACUAAGUUCAAGAAAAUAUAGUAAUGAGCUUGUGUGUUUCCCUAAAUAAAUGCGACUCUUUGGCCUCCCAAUUUUUUGCAAAAAUAUUAUUAUCCAGUAAUUCUAUGAUGCAGGGAAUCCAAAAUGUGAAAGUCUAAGUUCUUUUAGACUGAACAAAACUUCAGUAUCAGUCCUUGAGUUUUUGGACUGUUGUAUUGACACAGUACACACUGCCACUUGUGUUCAGGUUACAGGUGAUGUGUAGAUUGAAGACUUACACCUAUGUUAAUAUUCUUGAUAAUGAGACCAAAAUUAUGUGUAAUUGAUAGUUUGCUUCUGUAGAAAUUUUGAACGCAGAAGUAUUUGAUAUCACUCAACAAGAUGUUUACACAGAAACACACUUGAAUUGGCAUUCCAGACCAUGAAAGGGAACCUGUUUUCUGAGGUAAAUGAUGACAGUUUGAUUUUAUUUGGAAUAAGAUGUUUUUUGUGACACAAUGAAUGUUUUCAUCUUUAGCUCAGAAUGUUAAGCUGUGGAUGAUGUUGCACAAUGUUGACACUAGGAGUGCUUGCUUUGUCUUUGUCAGUAUAUCUUGUUUGUAGUCUGUUACUUUAGUGAGUACAGGUUAUGCCAGACAGUUACAUUAAUUAUCUGUAUCAUAUUCCUGUGUUUGUAAUUUUUGUACCCAGGUAAUUUUAUUGUAUAUUACAUUGACACAUUCUCAUGUUGUCUCUGUGUGUAUUGCAUAUAUGCAUGAAAAUAUUUAGCAUGGCUAAAUGUUUAAUGAGCAUUUGGAUGAUAUCUCAGUUUAUUAGGUGCAGCUUUUUUUACAUAACUAUGUAACUUGAUAACAAGCUCAAUAUCACCAUAUCUCACUGCUAAUUCAUAUUUAUUACACCAGUAACAAUACUAUGUUAAUCACCCCAGCCAUUAAUUGUUAUAUGACAUGAUAUAUAUUUAUAAUUCUUCAAUACCGCAUUACAUAUGGUUAUAUUGAUGUAUACUGGGUUUUUUUUGUCAUGUAUGUUUAAUUCACUUGGCCGGAAAGGUUAUGUGAGCUUGUGUUGUCACAGGUGGUCAUCAGUAUCCUUGAAUUGUUUACAUAUUUAAGUUCUUAUCUGAAAUGGAUUCAGAAGAAGUUUUGUAAGGAUGCAUAUUACCAUAAAGGUUUAUUCAAGGCAUCAAAAUUUCAGUUUGGUUGCCAGUUGUAAUCUUUGGCGUAACACAAGCAAAAUGUGUCAGAGGCCGGAAAAUCGGUGGGUAACUAAAGUUUAUUAAAUAGUUGGGCUCCUGUCUCUUGCAAUAUUCCAACUUUUUCACUUUAGACCAUGCCCUUAUACUGUCACUAAAGACGUUUUCUCACUGUAAACAGUAUCUCAAACCUCACUGAAUGAGUGAGGCUUGUUCUCAGCAGUGACGGAAAGCUGAUUUGUGGAGGUCUCAAAUGUGAUUUUACAUACAUUUUGUGCACUAUGUAUGCCAAUAGUAGUAGUAAGGGUUAAGAUGUGUGUUCUGGUUUUUCUGUAUUUUGAAUUUUUACCUUUGCACAUUGAUCAUACUGAAAACUGAAACUUCUUAUUGACACUUCGGAAGAACAUUUUCAAUUUUGACCUUACCUUUUUCACCUUACAUUUUUAUCAUGCUUCAAAAUUCUCUCAUAAUGCAUUACCCCCCUGGAAACAUCUCACCA